GCGGUUGGGAGGGAAUGGGGCGUGGGGGGUUAGAGCAGGACCACAGCCUGGUGAGUCCCCGGGCAGCCGUCCUGCAGCCGCCACUCAGCAGCACACGGGGUUCCUCGGAGGAGCAGAGGUGGCCGCCGUGGGGGGGCGUUUGGGCUGCGGUGCUGCGUCAUUUUUCCUUUGCUUUCUCUUUACUUUAGACACUGGCCCAACUCCAGGAGUUUCCUUUCAUUCCCUCAGUGCUUCUCUUCUGACCUGCAUGUUGAGUUCUGUAUUGCUGGGGCUUCCAACAAAAACCAGAGUCACUGACAGAGGGAACUGCAGAGACCUUGUUGGUAUUCAGCUGUGAUGGAUAUAGAGAAUCGGAGGCACCUUGUUUUCACAACUAGGAUAAAAAUAUCUGCAGGGUCCUUUCCAUUCCUAUUUAGAGGGAGUCCUGGCUCCAUGACCCCCUCCCGAGUGGACUGUCCAAGCAGAUAGGCUCACACGAGAAACAGUGAGGCUGAAAGGGGGGGCCAUGGAAGAGCGGUAGGGAGUCCACGGAGAAGAUGCAGUGAAUGCUUGCAUGCAUUCACACGUGUGUGUGUCCCAGCUAGUUCACUCCUUUCGCCGUGCGUGGUGGAGGCUCGCCUCUCUGGCCGGGUGCAGUGAACGGCCAGCGGGUUUCUUUUCUGCUGGGCCAAGGCGCUUUGGGGGUGGAGGGGGUGGUGCUGGCGCUGCACUGGGCUGACUGCGGCGCUGACACAGCGUUUCCCCCCAUCCCUGUUGCCUGUGUGUUGUGUGGAUCUGUUCCUAGUAUAGGCAACAUAAUGAGAUACUGUGCUUCCCACCUCCCCUUCAGUUCAGAGCCAAAAUGGGUCUAGAAUCUGGCACUUUACUCAUUUCCUUUGAUAAAUUGUACUGUGCAGAGCUGUCAGGAACCUUCAGAUAGCAGUAGAGGACUGCAGCUGCCUAGGUCUGCGGCCACAUCUUGGGGACACACUGGAUUGUUCCCAUGUGCAGGGUUCAGCACUUACGUGGGAGUGCUAGGGGUUAGGCUUUUGAGCUUGAACGCCUGCGUGUGAACAGAUGAAAAAUCCUUCAGUACCCAAGUCCCAGUCUGUCCUAUGGGGAGCAGUUUGGGGGCGGCCGGCAGCAGGAGCCUGGGAAAGAGGCCCUCGCCAGGUGAUGGCAGGGCCAGGGUGGCCUGGGGCACCCAGCGGAAUGUGCUUAGUAUUUGGUCACCAGCCGUCAUCCUGGGCUUUUCCUACUGUGUCUUGUUACAAGGCCUCAGCAAUCCACAGAACUCUCUCUCCUUCCUUCCACCUGUCAGCUUCUCUGCUUCUGAGAUAAGAACCAUUUGUGUAACACCAACACUUAACUUCAGAAAGACAUGCAUUAUGUGGUGUAAUCAAACCCGAGGCUUUCAGAUGACCUACUUACAUCUUCAAUGUGGAUAAGAUAAAGAACAAAACACAUGCAUCUAAACUGCUGGGCAAUCCAGUUGACUUUUAAAUGUAAGAAUGGAAUUCCAAACACUUAACACAUUCAGCUAUAUGACAGAAAGUAAAUCUAUGGAUAUGGUAUUUUGUGAAUGAUCUUUUAAAUAAAAGAAAACCUUACGUAAUAUUUAAAAAAAA
RNAcentral lists this long non-coding RNA (1607 nucleotides) under Homo sapiens (human). Its description in RNAcentral is "HSALNT0120436". Lineage: Eukaryota; Metazoa; Chordata; Mammalia; Primates; Hominidae. The record is from RNAcentral.